GCCGCACCGGGGACCCCAGGACCCCAGGCCGGGGCUGAGGGCGCUUUCGACCCGCACGGAAUGGAAACGCGCGCGUUCGCUGCGAUUUGACACUUGCUUUGAAGGGAAGACCUUGGUUUUCCUUCCUCGUUCCUAAACCGUGGUGCCUGAUGAAGAAUUUAGAGUAAAACUGGUCGCUGCUGUCCAAAGGGGUUGCUUUUAAAUCAGUCCUAAUUGGAACACCAGGUGGUUUCAACAGAGCCUGAGUUGGCCCCGGUGAUUCUGGCAAUGACAAGAGAUGGUGAAAAUCACAACUAUUUAGGAAGAAAAGCUUCAGCACAAGAUCUCAGUUGCCUUGGGGCAGUCCUGUGUGGGCACCAGCAACUGCUGAGUUCUUUGGGCAGCUAUCAGAGGCCUGCCUGCCCUUUAAGCCUCAACAGAACAAGAGGGGUUUCUACAGAGAGCCAGAGCUGGGGCAGUCAGGAAGAAAAUGGCAGUGACGACAACUGUUCUGGAGGGGCACUUGGGACUUCGCAAAACCAUUUGGGAGAAAAUAAGGAAGUUUGGCUUUCCUGCAGAAUGAAUGGAAGCAGAGCCAACCAAUUACUCUUUCGCAACUGUUGUUGCAGUCCCUUAUUUACUGUGAAGGACGCUGUUGCCUGAAAAACAGGUCUACAAACUAAGAGGACUUAUUGCUAAGGUAUCUGUGAAGCUCUUUAAAAUCUGUUAAAUAUAAAAAUUUAUAAAAUAUGCACACACACACACACACACACACACACACACACACACACCCGCACUCCCCAAAUGCAAUGUAACUACCUGAGUCAGAGUGUUGUGUUUUUUUUUAAUAUAAAAGUUAAAACUAAGUACACAGAUGCCAGAAGUCCCUUUCAUUACACCUCAUCUAUUAGAAAUAUAAACCUCAACCAACUUGUUUUUCAACUUGUUUUUGUCGUUAAUGAUGGGACUGGUGAUUUUGAAUGUAUGCCCAAAUUUUUGUUUUUGAAUUUAACUGGACAAAUCUGAUUCUUGCCAGGUUUAUCAACUCUUUGAGUUCUAGUUACGGAGCUACCUCUUUCUGAAUUUCACUCCACCUAACUUCCUUUUUACUGUUCCAUUUCUGAUGCUCAACUGGCUAUUUCAUCUUUACUCAACCUUUCUUACAGUGUGUACUAUGACUGGCUCUUUUAUGUUAAAAGUGAGAUUUGCAUGUUUUAGUAGGAUAACUCUUCCCUUAUCUCUAGAUGCAGAACAAAAUCUAACUGGAUCUGUCAAGAGACACCCUAGCCCCAGAACAAGACUUGUUCAAUGAAGGUUAUGGACAGAAUGACUAAUAGGCUUUUUAUCACCAUGGAGUCUUCAUUCAUUCAACAAGUAUUUAUUGAGCAUUAGUUAGGUGCCAGCCAGUACACUAGGCACUGUAAUAAUAAAUACUAUCUCUUUACUCUUGGUGCUUAAGCUAUUGAGAAAGACAGUAUUAAACAAUGUUUAAGUAUUAUGCAUAUUAAGAUAGGGGAAUAUUCAGCUGUCAUCUGUACAGUUAUGGUUUUUCAUCUUUUAGGUGGGGGAAGGCAUAGACUCCUUGCAUUUGAUCAAUGUCCUAGACCUUUGCCCUAGAAAACAAACAUACCCUCAAAAUCUUGCCAAUAAUUUCAAGUUAUUCAUGUGUCCUUUUGAAGCCUUUCCAUGCACUCUGGGUUUAGGAUUCCUACCAUAAAUGAAAAACACUAAAAUCAGAUGAAACCAGAAGAAGCAGGAAUUCUAAAAUACAUGGAGGGGAAGAGAGACAAAGUGCUGAGGAGUAAGAGCAGCAAGAAUGAAAAAUACGUUUCCACAGAUUUAUUUUAACAUGUGUUAUCCCCAGCCAACAUACGUAAUUAAUGCUUCCUGGAACAAUCCCCUGUGGAGGAAGCAAUGCCCCACCAAGUGAACCUUGCCCUCCCAUACAAGAACACUUUAAGAAGCUACCAGCUCCUUCACCUUUAUAGCAACAUGAUGAGUGCCCUGGAUCAAAGUCUUCUGCCGAUCCAUAGACAGGCGACCACAACAAAUAAUCAGUUUGCAAAGAAAUGUACGUUUGGGAAGGAGCUGCUGCUUCCCUUCUACAUUUGGUUUUAACUGUGCCCGAAGCAAGAUUCAGUCCUGGAGAAUUUAAAUGACCUUACCUUCCAGCUUUUCCACCAGAGGACGCUGUUCCUGGUCUGCACGUGGUCAUCUUCUUGUAGCUUCACAUGGUGAGGAGAGAGAGGAAGCAAGCCCUAUCUUGUCUCUUCUUAUCUCAGAUGCUUAUGACUGGCUGCCACUGACUGGGAAAGAGAAUCUACACUGGGAAUCCUCUAACAUCAGAGAUUCAGGAGACUGAGAAGUCGAAGACCAAGGUGCUGGCUGACUUUGCUCAUAGUGAAGACCCUGUUCCUAGUCUGCACAUGGUCGUCUUCUCCUUGUAGCUUCACAUGGUGAGGAGAGAGAGGAAGCAAGCCCUCUCUUGUCUCUUCUUAUAAAGACGCUCAUCUUAAAGAAGAUGUGGUAUUACUCGGCAAUCAAAAAGAAUGAAAUCUUGCCUUUUGCAACUACAUGGA
Felis catus (domestic cat) is the source of this 2558-nucleotide long non-coding RNA. RefSeq lists it as uncharacterized. The transcript has 7 exons. NCBI's taxonomy places the organism in Eukaryota, Metazoa, Chordata, Mammalia, Carnivora, Felidae. The record is from RefSeq and is a predicted model, not a curated record.